GUGAGCGUAGCUCAGUUGGUAGAGCCCCGGAUUGUGAUUCCGGUGGUCGUGGGUUCGAAACCCAUCGUUCACCCCA
This 76-nucleotide transfer RNA is filed under the name hydrothermal vent metagenome. Its description in RNAcentral is "tRNA-His-GTG". It matches the Rfam family "tRNA". From Rfam's summary of the family: Transfer RNA (tRNA) molecules are approximately 80 nucleotides in length. Their secondary structure includes four short double-helical elements and three loops (D, anti-codon, and T loops). The record is from RNAcentral.